AGAGGGUGCGAGCGUUAAUCGGAUUUACUGGGCGUAAAGCGUACGUAGGCGGCUUUUUAAGUCGGAUGUGAAAUCCCUGAGCUUAACUUAGGAAUUGCAUUCGAUACUGGGAAGCUAGAGUAUGGGAGAGGAUGGUAGAAUUCCAGGUGUAGCGGUGAAAUGCGUAGAGAUCUGGAGGAAUACCGAUGGCGAAGGCAGCCAUCUGGCCUAAUACUGACGCUGAGGUACGAAAGCAUGGGGAGCAAAC
This 247-nucleotide ribosomal RNA is filed under the name uncultured Acinetobacter sp. Its description in RNAcentral is "partial 16S ribosomal RNA". It matches the Rfam family "Bacterial small subunit ribosomal RNA", at positions 527 to 773 of the family's 1533-position model. The record is from RNAcentral. Lineage: Bacteria; Pseudomonadati; Pseudomonadota; Gammaproteobacteria; Moraxellales; Moraxellaceae.